Molecule: transfer RNA, 66 nt
Filed under: Marmota monax (woodchuck)
Lineage: Eukaryota; Metazoa; Chordata; Mammalia; Rodentia; Sciuridae
Description: tRNA.Ala
Source: RNAcentral
GUGCAGCUCAGUGGUAGCGUGUGUGCUCAGCAUGUGCAAGGUCCUGGGUUCAAUCCCCAACGUACA